This 1668-nucleotide long non-coding RNA is filed under the name Capsicum annuum. RNAcentral describes it as "long non-coding RNA (CANN_LNC015609)". The record is from RNAcentral. Lineage: Eukaryota; Viridiplantae; Streptophyta; Magnoliopsida; Solanales; Solanaceae.
AAAAGUAUUUUCAACAACAAAAAAAUCAAAAAACGACAUUAGUAUGAGGACAAGGUCACUCAACAACAAGUUUAAAGGCCAAAAGCUCCACAAGAACCCAACAAGGCAGUCCAACAACAACAACAAAGUAGAUAAAUUUUCAAGAAGUCCCAAAAUGCAACUGAAGGAAACAAAGAACUUGAAAAUUGGGUGUCAGGCAUUGAGUUAACUACUCCCAAACCCCGUGCCUGCCCAUACUUUCAUAGGUGAUGAACUUGAAGUUUCUGGAGGAAUGGAGGGUAUUAAAGAGGAUGACAAUGAGUUAAUGCAUGGGGCUACCAGAGAUGUAGAAAAUUUGAUCCAAGUUGAGCAUGAGUCAGCUCACAAGGAUCCUACAAAUGCCCCCAUACCCAGGUCAUCCCUGAUUCUUUUGGAACUGUUUCUGGUUUUCAAAAGAGCUGCACUUGUGCUGGGGAAAAUAAGAGAGUAGGACCAACUUGUUCUACUGCUUCAUAUGCUAAUUGUGGGGAUGAGCAGGAGGUGGUGAGCAGGAGAAUAUGGUAAAGGUGUUGUAGAGUAAUUUUGGUGCUUCUGGAACACCCUCUUUUGCAGAUGUUGUAACUGGAAAUCAGCCUCAACCAAGUGAUUCUAGUAAAGCUUGUGAAGAUCCCGAAUCUUCAGAUUUAGUUAGCAGGAAAAAGAGGGAAGCUGUUAAAAUAAAUCAAAAUAACUCGAAAAACAGGAGAACAAGAAGAGGGGUAAGCAACACAAGGGGCAGAAGAAAAUUGUUUUGGUUGAUGAACAAAUGGAUUCUCAGCUUCCCCCUCUUCAAAGACAAGUGAGAAAACCUACAAGUUCCAAAAACAAAUGCACUUUCAGUUUAUUUUCUAGGAAUUCUAACGAUAUGGAUGAUGAGUAUAGGGUCAUUCAUUCAGAGGAUGAGCCUGAGGAUGAGCCUGACAAUGAUAAUCAAUCUAUAGAUGACCAGGAGGAAAAAGCCUUUAGAUUAGUGCAUCAUAUCUCAUCCAAGAAUGGAUUAUCACCAGAAGUUAUAAGCAGAAGGAUCCAUAUCAUAAGGAUAACACCAGUACUUCUACCAAAAUCAGACCUUUCACAAGGUCUCGAAAGUAGAGGUCUGUAAGCCUUAUUCAUGUGCAGAAUUAACAUCUCAAAGUUUGAUUUUUUCAGCAGCAAAGAUGUGCCCAGCAUCAUCAGAUUUUUGACAAAUUUAUAAAAUCUUUUGAAAGCUUCAGGUUUCAUUUUGUGUCUCAAGCUAGAUUUUGUCCUCACCAUGUGCAGUGCCUUCUGUUUUAUAGGUGGUCAUCUUCAGAAACUGAAGGGCUCUUGACUUGUUGGUUUUGAGAACUGCUGGAGGAUCAUGACCUAUUAUUUUCUGAAUUUUCUCAACUGAUUAUCUUGGUUUUUGCAGCUGUUUUAACUCUUCUAUUAGGCUAUGAUUUGUUUGAGUAUAACUUUUUAGAAGAGAUCUUUUUUAUUGAGGUUCAUCAUAGUUUAUCUACCUAGUUUUUAGGUCCUUAUGUAGGUGGGGUUAAGCUAAAUGCUCAUAUUAGACCAGUUAGCUUAUGUGCCACCUUUUCUUUACGUGGCAGUUUUGGUUUGGUUCCUCUCCUUGUAAAUAUUGUUUUGUUAUUAACAAAAAGAUAAAAACCCUGGGGGGAGUUUCUUGAG